This 689-nucleotide ribosomal RNA is filed under the name Vreelandella aquamarina. RNAcentral describes it as "bacterial SSU rRNA". It matches the Rfam family "Bacterial small subunit ribosomal RNA", at positions 61 to 748 of the family's 1533-position model. Lineage: Bacteria; Pseudomonadati; Pseudomonadota; Gammaproteobacteria; Oceanospirillales; Halomonadaceae. The record is from RNAcentral.
GUCGAGCGGUAACAGAUCCAGCUUGCUGGAUGCUGACGAGCGGCGGACGGGUGAGUAAUGCAUAGGAAUCUGCCCGGUAGUGGGGGAUAACCUGGGGAAACCCAGGCUAAUACCGCAUACGUCCUACGGGAGAAAGGGGGCUUCGGCUCCCGCUAUCGGAUGAGCCUAUGUCGGAUUAGCUAGUUGGUGAGGUAACGGCUCACCAAGGCCACGAUCCGUAGCUGGUCUGAGAGGAUGAUCAGCCACAUCGGGACUGAGACACGGCCCGAACUCCUACGGGAGGCAGCAGUGGGGAAUAUUGGACAAUGGGGGGAACCCUGAUCCAGCCAUGCCGCGUGUGUGAAGAAGGCCCUCGGGUUGUAAAGCACUUUCAGCGAGGAAGAACGCCUAGCGGUUAAUACCCGCUAGGAAAGACAUCACUCGCAGAAGAAGCACCGGCUAACUCCGUGCCAGCAGCCGCGGUAAUACGGAGGGUGCAAGCGUUAAUCGGAAUUACUGGGCGUAAAGCGCGCGUAGGUGGCUUGAUAAGCCGGUUGUGAAAGCCCCGGGCUCAACCUGGGAACGGCAUCCGGAACUGUCAAGCUAGAGUGCAGGAGAGGAAGGUAGAAUUCCCGGUGUAGCGGUGAAAUGCGUAGAGAUCGGGAGGAAUACCAGUGGCGAAGCGGCCUUCUGGACUGACACUGACACUG